RNAcentral lists this ribosomal RNA (460 nucleotides) under uncultured bacterium. Its description in RNAcentral is "partial 16S ribosomal RNA". It matches the Rfam family "Bacterial small subunit ribosomal RNA", at positions 338 to 795 of the family's 1533-position model. The record is from RNAcentral.
CCUACGGGAGGCAGCAGUGAGGAAUAUUGGUCAAUGGGCGCGAGCCUGAACCAGCCAAGUCGCGUGAAGGAUGACUGCCCUAUGGGUUGUAAACUUCUUUUAUAAGGGAAUAAAGUGAGGCACGUGUGCCUUUUUGUAUGUACUUUAUGAAUAAGGAUCGGCUAACUCCGUGCCAGCAGCCGCGGUAAUACGGAGGAUCCGAGCGUUAUCCGGAUUUAUUGGGUUUAAAGGGUGCGUAGACGGGUUGUUAAGUCAGUUGUGAAAGUUUGCGGCUCAACCGUAAAAUUGCAGUUGAUACUGGCAGCCUUGAGUACAGUUGAGGUAGGCGGAAUGCGUGGUGUAGCGGUGAAAUGCUUAGAUAUCACGAAGAACGCCGAUUGCGAAGGCAGCUUACUAAACUGCCACUGACAUUGAUGCUCGAAAGUGUGGGUAUCAAACAGGAUUAGAUACCCCAGUAGUC